RNAcentral lists this transfer RNA (98 nucleotides) under Streptomyces lavendofoliae. RNAcentral describes it as "tRNA-Pro". The record is from RNAcentral. Lineage: Bacteria; Bacillati; Actinomycetota; Actinomycetes; Kitasatosporales; Streptomycetaceae.
GUCGUCGCUGACGCGGGCGACGGUGUAGGUGAGCGUGGUGGUCGUGCCCGGUCGCAGGCCGGCCGGGCGGCCGCCGUUCGGGCCGGCGACGUCGAUGC